GAUGAACGCUGACAGAAUGCUUAACACAUGCAAGUCAUUGGCGAAGCUGCGCUUGCGCAGUCUAGCCAAGGCGGACGGGUGAGUAACGCGUAAGGAACUUGCCCUGCAGACAGGGAUAACAGACGGAAACGACUGAUAACACCUGGUAUUGUCAGGCUGGCGCAUGCCGGCCUGAUGAAAGGAGACGCUGCAGGAGAGCCUUGCGUCCUAUUAGCUAGUUGGUGGGGUAACGGCCCACCAAGGCGAUGAUAGGUAGCCGGCCUGAGAGGGUGAACGGCCACAAGGGGACUGAGAUACGGCCCUUACUCCUACGGGAGGCAGCAGUGGGGAAUAUUGGACAAUGGGGGCAACGCUGAUCCAGCAAUUCUGUGGGCACGAAGAAGGUUUUCGGAUUGUAAAGUGCUUUCAGCAGGGAAGAAGAAAGUGACGGUACCGGCAGAAGAGGCGAGGGCUAAAUACGU
RNAcentral lists this ribosomal RNA (461 nucleotides) under uncultured bacterium. RNAcentral describes it as "partial 16S ribosomal RNA". It matches the Rfam family "Bacterial small subunit ribosomal RNA", at positions 28 to 506 of the family's 1533-position model. The record is from RNAcentral.